UCAUUGGAGAGUUUGAUCCUGGCUCAGGACGAACGCUGGCGGCGUGCCUAACACAUGCAAGUCGAACGGGACCAGGGGCAACUCUGGUUCAGUGGCG
RNAcentral lists this ribosomal RNA (97 nucleotides) under Gemmatimonadales bacterium. Its description in RNAcentral is "partial 16S ribosomal RNA". It matches the Rfam family "Bacterial small subunit ribosomal RNA", at positions 1 to 100 of the family's 1533-position model. Lineage: Bacteria; Pseudomonadati; Gemmatimonadota; Gemmatimonadia; Gemmatimonadales. The record is from RNAcentral.